UAGGGAAUCUCCGGCAAUGGACGGAAGUCUGACCGAGCAACGCCGCGUGAGUGAAGAAGGUUUUCGGAUCGUAAAGCUCUGUUGUAAGAGAAGAACGAGUGUGAGAGUGGAAAGUUCACACUGUGACGGUAUCUUACCAGAAAGGGACGGCUAACUACGUGCCAGCAGCCGCGGUAAUACGUAGGUCCCGAGCGUUAUCCGGAUUUAUUGGGCGUAAAGCGAGCGCAGGCGGUUAGAUAAGUCUGAAGUUAAAGGCUGUGGCUUAACCAUAGUACGCUUUGGAAACUGUUUAACUUGAGUGCAAGAGGGGAGAGUGGAAUUCCAUGUGUAGCGGUGAAAUGCGUAGAUAUAUGGAGGAACACCGGUGGCGAAAGCGGCUCUCUGGCUUGUAACUGACGCUGAGGCUCGAAAGCGUGGGGAGCAAACAGGAUUAGAUACCCUGGUAGUCCACGCCGUAAACGAUGAGUGCUAGGUGUUAGACCCUUUCCGGGGUUUAGUGCCGUAGCUAACGCAUUAAGCACUCCGCCUGGGGAGUACGACCGCAAGGUUG
Molecule: ribosomal RNA, 550 nt
Filed under: uncultured bacterium
Lineage: Bacteria
Description: bacterial SSU rRNA
Rfam family: Bacterial small subunit ribosomal RNA
Source: RNAcentral